UACGUAGGGUGCGAGCGUUAAUCGGAAUUACUGGGCGUAAAGCGUGCGCAGGCGGUUUUGUAAGACAGAUGUGAAAUCCCCGGGCUUAACUUGGGAACUGCAUUUGUGACUGCAAGACUAGAGUGCGGCAGAGGGGGGUAGAAUUCCACGUGUAGCGGUGAAAUGCGUAGAUAUGUGGAGGAAUAACGAUGGCGAAGGCAGCCACCUGGGUCGACACUGACGCUCAGGCACGAGAGCGUGGGGAGCAAACAGG
Molecule: ribosomal RNA, 253 nt
Filed under: uncultured bacterium
Lineage: Bacteria
Description: partial 16S ribosomal RNA
Rfam family: Bacterial small subunit ribosomal RNA
Source: RNAcentral